This 113-nucleotide ribosomal RNA is filed under the name uncultured euryarchaeote. RNAcentral's name for it is "partial 16S ribosomal RNA". It matches the Rfam family "Archaeal small subunit ribosomal RNA", at positions 345 to 457 of the family's 1478-position model. The record is from RNAcentral. Lineage: Archaea; Methanobacteriati; Methanobacteriota.
AACCUUUACACUGCACGACAGUGCGAUAGGGGGACUCCGAGUGCGAGGGCAUACAGUCCUCGCUUUUCUGUACCGUAAGGUGGUACAGGAACAAGUGCUGGGCAAGACCGGUG